RNAcentral lists this ribosomal RNA (508 nucleotides) under Pothyne polyplicata. RNAcentral's name for it is "partial 16S ribosomal RNA". It matches the Rfam family "Archaeal large subunit ribosomal RNA", at positions 1917 to 2665 of the family's 2987-position model. Lineage: Eukaryota; Metazoa; Arthropoda; Insecta; Coleoptera; Cerambycidae. The record is from RNAcentral.
GGCCUUUUGAAUAUAAUUUUAGGUCUGGCCUGCCCACUGAGAAUUUCUUGAAGGGCCGCGGUAUCUUGACCGUGCUAAGGUAGCAUAAUAAUUAGUUUUUUAAUUGAAAGCUGGAAUGAAUGGUCGGAUAAGAAGAUAGCUGUCUCUGAUUAAUUUAAAUUGAAUUUUAUUUUUAAGUCAAAAAGCUUAGAUAAUUUUAAAAGACGAGAAGACCCUAUAGAGUUUGAUAAAUUAGUAUUUUUAAAUUUUUGGUAUUUUAAAUUUAAAGAUAAAGGUUUAUUUGAUUGGGGUGAUUGAAAAAUUUAAUAAACUUUUUUUGAAUAAAGCCAUAAAUUUAUGAUUAUUUGAUCCAAUUAUUUUGAUUAAAAGAUUAAAUUACCUUAGGGAUAACAGCGUAAUUUUUAUUUAGAGUUCAAAUUGAAAUAAAAGAUUGCGACCUCGAUGUUGGAUUAAAAUUAAUUUUUGGUGCAGAAGCUUAAAGUUUAGGUCUGUUCGACCUUUAAAAUUU